Molecule: long non-coding RNA, 276 nt
Organism: Quercus lobata
Lineage: Eukaryota; Viridiplantae; Streptophyta; Magnoliopsida; Fagales; Fagaceae
Exons: 3
Source: RefSeq, a predicted model, not a curated record
UUCUCCAAUUCUCUCAUUCUAUGUUAAUCUUCUUUUCACCAUUAUCAUCAUCGUUAAGAAACUCCUCUCACCCACAUCUAGGCUUCAGAUUUCACUACAAACAACGACCACAACAGCAGAUAGAUUUGAGGCCUUCGCAAGAUGCUAUUAAAAGAUGUUUCAUUUUUUAUGACUCUUCAUUGAUGUGUAGGCUUUGAGGGUGACAUAUCAACAAUUUGGUUAGAUUGCAUGGCAGACACAUUGGAUGAAUUCGGGUGAGUGAAGCGGUAGUCAAUC